Molecule: ribosomal RNA, 301 nt
Filed under: uncultured bacterium
Lineage: Bacteria
Description: partial 16S ribosomal RNA
Rfam family: Bacterial small subunit ribosomal RNA
Source: RNAcentral
CAGUAGCCGCGGUAAUACGUAGGUCCCGAGCGUUGUCCGGAUUUAUUGGGCGUAAAGGGAGCGCAGGCGGUUUAGUAAGUCUGAAGUUAAAGGCAUUGGCUCAACCAAUGUAUGCUUUGGAAACUGUUAGACUUGAGUGCAGAAGGGGAGAGUGGAAUUCCAUGUGUAGCGGUGAAAUGCGUAGAUAUAUGGAGGAGCACCGGUGGCGAAAGCGGCUCUCUGGUCUGUCACUGACGCUGAGGCUCGAAAGCGUGGGUAGCGAACAGGAUUAGAUACCCCCGUAGUCCCUGUCUCUUAUACC